This 253-nucleotide ribosomal RNA is filed under the name uncultured bacterium. Its description in RNAcentral is "partial 16S ribosomal RNA". It matches the Rfam family "Bacterial small subunit ribosomal RNA", at positions 524 to 776 of the family's 1533-position model. The record is from RNAcentral.
UACGAAGGGAGCUAGCGUUGUUCGGAAUUACUGGGCGUAAAGCGCGCGUAGGUGGUUUGUUAAGUUGGAUGUGAAAGCCCCGGGCUCAACCUGGGAACUGCAUCCAAAACUGGCAAGCUAGAGUACGGUAGAGGGUGGUGGAAUUUCCUGUGUAGCGGUGAAAUGCGUAGAUAUAGGAAGGAACACCAGUGGCGAAGGCGACCACCUGGACUGAUACUGACACUGAGGCGCGAAAGCGUGGGAAGCAAACAGG